RNAcentral lists this ribosomal RNA (548 nucleotides) under Reishia clavigera. RNAcentral describes it as "partial 16S ribosomal RNA". It matches the Rfam family "Bacterial large subunit ribosomal RNA", at positions 1857 to 2666 of the family's 2925-position model. RNAcentral also lists the same sequence under 1 other name. The record is from RNAcentral. Lineage: Eukaryota; Metazoa; Mollusca; Gastropoda; Neogastropoda; Muricidae.
ACCUGCUCGGUGAAUAUAUUUUAACAGCCGCGGUACUCUGACCGUGCAAAGGUAGCAUAAUCAUUUGCCUUAUAAUUGAAGGCUAGUAUGAAUGGUUUGACGAGAAUUAAGCUGUCUCUUUUUAACUAAAUAUAACUUUAUUAAGAGGUGAAGAAGCCUGUAUUUUAUUGAAAGACAAGAAGACCCUAUCGAGCUUUAAAGAAUUUAGUAGAUUUACCAUAUAUUAAUAAAAAAGUAAAGCAACUAAAUAUUUUGGUUGGGGCGACUGAGGAACAAACAAAGCUUCCUUUAUGCUAAUUAAAACUUACAAGUAUUGAUCCAAUUUAUUUGAUUAAAGAAAUUAGUUACCGUAGGGAUAACAGCAUAAUCUCCUUUGAGAGUUCUCAUCGAAAAGGGGGUUUGUGACCUCGAUGUUGGACCAGAAUACCCAGAAGAUGCAGCCGUCUUCAAUGGUUGGUCUGUUCGACCAUUAAAAUUCUACGUGAUCUGAGUUCAGACCGGCGUGAGCCAGGUCAGUUUCUAUCUUCAAUUUUUAUAGUGGCCUUAGU